Molecule: long non-coding RNA, 2071 nt
Organism: Gasterosteus aculeatus aculeatus (three-spined stickleback)
Lineage: Eukaryota; Metazoa; Chordata; Actinopteri; Perciformes; Gasterosteidae
Source: Ensembl
GCUGUGGUGACGGUUCGGGUAAAGAGGCAUCAGGUGGGACAGCCGUAGUGCUGGCCGCUGCAGGAGUGCUACAGCUGGCAAACACCGAAACACCAAAUGUUUCCUGUCCCAAAGACCGAGAAGAAGGCGUCGUACUCCAUCCGCUUGGUGGGCAUCCAGUCCUCAAAUACUGAAGUUCAUGUCCUCCAACGGUCCCACCUCAAUGACGUCAGUGUUCGCGGUUCACCGCUUGAGUAACUGAAAGAUUUGGGUGCGUUACAUUUGACGAAGAAGUGCAAGAAGAGCGGCUCAAUUUCUACGGUACCGCCUGUUAAUGCUUCAGGGAGCUGAUGAAUCUAAGAUGGAUACUUUUGACGAUGCCACUCUAUCGGUGUUGGAGGCUGCCAGUGUUGAUGAGGAGGCUUUGAAAGGCCUUAGCCGGGAUGACCUGAGGGAUCUUUUUCCUGGCCCAGAGAAUUUCCUCAAAAGAAAGAAACUUUGGAAUUUCAUCAGUGAAAAUUGUGAAAAUACCACGGACCAAGAUGCCAACAAUUGUGCCAUGCCACCAUGCCAGCCUCAAACCUCAACCCCCAUAUCUGCUGAGAAAAAAAUGAAAAUGCCAGACCCUCCAGAGUAUGUGGUGUACACAGAUUCAGAGUUAGACAUGUCCCAUGGGGAAAGAAGUCAGUUACCCGUCAAAAUUGGAAAUAAGAGCCAUGUCACAGAAGAUUAUAGACUAUUACCCAAUGUUACGGGAUGAUGAUCCAAACAUGCCUUAUCUGACUAUCUACACCAAAAUGUACAAGCGACUCCAAAAUAUGAGAUCCCCACGGAAGAGGCAAGGCUCUGUACCACAAAGAGGAGUGGCAAAGACAGCUCUCUUCAGUGCAGACAACCAAGACAUGGAGACGGAUUGGACAGACACAAGCAACUCAAGUGAUAAUACCUUACUUCUUGAGAGCAAUGAUGACCUUACCGAGGACAACUCCAGUGAAGCAUUCCCAGCACAUCGACCCCCCUCUGUGCCAAGGAAGCCAAAGACCAAAACCUUCCUGCUGCCAUCCGCAUCAGCCUCAGGCUCCUCACUCAGGACUGUGAUCGCUUCACCAACCACGCCUGCAAAGGAUGAUGUUGUCGGCCAGGACAGUCUGAAAAUGCAGGCUAGGCACUACAAAACCUUGAGCAACAUGUACAAUAAGCCAAAUGCAAAACCCAAUCAAAGUGAUGUUGCUCAAGUUUUAGACCUUGAGUUUAAGGCCAGACGGGCUUUCAUUGAUGCAGAUGUUACAAGGGAAGAAGACCGACCUGCAAAAAUCUUUGAGGCAUAUCCAUGCUUUAGAGAUGUUCGAAAUGCAAUGGAUGAGCUGCGGCGCAUAGUAGGUGGCACCAACAGCAGAUACAUCGAGGAAGUGAAAGGAAGAUGGGCAGACUUUUGUGCCAAGGUGCAGUUCUAUGGUGUGUGGAAGAAAGCCCUGAAACCCCCCUUUCCAUUGGAUGUCCGUGGAGUGGAGUUCACGCUUGCCCUCUUCAAUGCACUCCCAUCCCUUUUCCCCUCACCAACUUCACCACCAAAGAAGCUUGGAAAUAGCUGUGAGGCACUUCUUCAUGUCCUGAAGUCAGGCGAAGACCCUGCCCUGUACCUGGAAAAGCAUCCUCUCUCCUCCCCAGUUCUGCUUUCUGAUGGCUCAACCACCAUUGUGGCUGUGGGUAAUGUACCUGUGACCACCCUCCCUCAGGAAGAUUUCUCAGACGGGAUGUUGGUGUUAAUGGCAUAUUACUACACUUUGCACUUAAGAUAUCCAAAAUGUGUUGCAACGCUCCUGUCAGUUAUUCAAACAGAGGUAAUUGGUGACACAAUCCACGAUCAAGAUGCCACUAGUGCUUACAGGAAAGCAAUGGCUGAUUGGAAGUCUUUCAUUGAGAAGUAGCUGAGUAUUUUGUCAUGCCAGUUCUUAUUGUUAGCUGUGAGUUCUUAUUGUUAGCUGUGCCUAAUAAUAGUUUUGUGUUGCACAAGCUUAUACAGUCACUGAGUUAUUACCUCAUUUAGGCCUGUAUUUAAAAUGAUAGUUAAGGAAAAAUCCAUAACUGAGGG